UAAUAUAAUUAUAUUUUUAUAUAAUUAAAAUUUAAAUUAAAAUAACUAAAUUAAUUUUUUAUACAAAAAUUAUAGUAAUACAAUAAUAAAAUUAUAAAGUAAAAUAUAUUAAUGCUUAAUUAAUUAAUUUUUAUUAUAUUUUAAUUGUACAAAUUAAAUAAAAAAUAUUAAAACUUAACUAAUCAAUUUUUAUCAUAUUUUAAAUAUACUAACUGAAUAAAAGAGUAAUUAGUAAUACAAUUAAAUAUAUUUAAAUAUAAUUAUCUUUAUCUAUUAUAUUAUUUUAUUAUUUUUUCUUCACCACUCUUCAUCGUAAUUAGACGAAGUCAAUUACGCCGUUUGAGAUUAACUCGAGUUCCGACUGUAAUAUUUUUACGGCAAACCAAACAACGAAAGUGGCCGUUUAUGGCGAAAACGACUUCCCUCCUCUCCAUUUUUACCCCACUUCCACCCAAACAAACAUAGCCACGCCACAUAUAGCAACACUUUUAAAAAGUGUCAGUAAUUUAUGCAGCAGAUUGACAUUUAAAAGUGUCGCUAUACACCAUUUUUGUUGUAGUGAUACAUUAGGAUUUUUGCAGGAAUAACUUAUGAAAAUUGAACUUUGCAGGAAUAUAUCUGUAAUUCACUAUAUUUACGGGAACCUGUAUAAAAUUAACCCUAUUUUUAAUUAGAUAGCAAAUUAUUUAUCUACACUUUACUGCAUUAAUUUGUAUAUCUAAUGAAUUUUCAACUCUUUUCUU
RNAcentral lists this long non-coding RNA (743 nucleotides) under Ananas comosus (pineapple). RNAcentral describes it as "long non-coding RNA (ACOM_LNC027069)". Lineage: Eukaryota; Viridiplantae; Streptophyta; Magnoliopsida; Poales; Bromeliaceae. The record is from RNAcentral.